Molecule: ribosomal RNA, 253 nt
Filed under: uncultured bacterium
Lineage: Bacteria
Description: partial 16S ribosomal RNA
Rfam family: Bacterial small subunit ribosomal RNA
Source: RNAcentral
AACGUAGGUUCCGAGCGUUAUCCGGAUUUACUGGGCGUAAAGCGCGUUCAGGCGGUUUGGCAAGUCGGGCAUGAAAUCUCUCGGCUCAACCGGGAGAGGUUGUCCGAUACUGCUGGACUUGAGGGCGGUAGAGGGUGGUGGAAUUCCGGGUGUAGUGGUGAAAUGCGUAGAUAUCCGGAGGAACACCAGUGGCGAAAGCGGCCACCUGGACUGCACCUGACGCUGACACGCGAAAGCUAGGGGAGCGAACGGG